This 1143-nucleotide long non-coding RNA is filed under the name Nicotiana benthamiana. Its description in RNAcentral is "long non-coding RNA (NBEN_LNC036726)". The record is from RNAcentral. Lineage: Eukaryota; Viridiplantae; Streptophyta; Magnoliopsida; Solanales; Solanaceae.
AGAGCAGAAGCUUCAGCAUCAUCUUCUUAUGCUGGUGGCACAAAAUAUAGACAAGAGGACAAGGACAAUGCAUUCCUCAAUGAGCUAGAGUUUUUGUCGCGCCUCAAUCACAAAAACCUUGUUAAGCUAUUAGGGUAUUGUGAAGAUAACAAUGAACGUGUCUUGGUUUUCGAAUACAUGAACAAUGGCACCCUCCAUGACCAUCUCCACAGGCUCGAAAGCUCACCACUAAUGUCAUGGGUUGGUAGGAUCAAGGUGGCAUUGGACGCGGCACGUGGCAUUGAGUACCUGCACGAGUACGCAGUGCCAGCUGUCAUCCACCGUGACAUCAAGUCGUCCAACAUAUUACUCGAUGCCAUGUGGAAUGCCAAGGUGUCCGACUUUGGAUUGUCCUUAAUGGGGCCUCAGGAUGACGAAACACACCUUUCUAUGCGCGCUGCUGGCACGGUCGGUUACAUGGACCCUGAAUACUACAGACUGCAACAACUAACGACGAAAAGUGAUGUGUAUAGUUUCGGAGUAAUGUUGCUAGAGUUAUUGUCGGGUUACAAGGCGAUUCACAAGAAUGAGAAUAGGGUACCAAGAAAUGUGGUUGAUUUUGUUGUACCAUACAUAGUACAAGAUGAGAUUCAUAGGGUAUUGGAUCGUAGAGUUCCACCACCAACACCUUUUGAAAUUGAGUCUGUGGCAUAUGUAGGUUAUCUAGCAGCAGAUUGUACCACAUUAGAAGGUAGAGAUCGUCCAACUAUGGCUCAAGUUGUAAAUACACUAGAAAGAGCCUUGAACGCAUGUUUGGCUACUCCAAUUUUCUCUCGGUCUAACACCGGUGAUUCGUCCACAUAGGCAGCAAGCUUUGACACGUGUAUAUUGUAAUUACACAUUUUUCUUAACUCAAGUUGUAAAUACGCUAGAAAGAGCCUUAAAGGCAUGUUUGGCUACUCCAAUUUUCUCUCGGUCUAACACCGAUGAUUCGUCCACAUAAGCAGCAUGCUUUGACACGUGUAUAUUGUAGUUACACAUUUUUCUUAUUUUUCUAUAUAUAUUUAAAUUAUUUUUCCACACUAGCGGACCAUUUCUUUUCUAAAUUUAUCAUUAUUUACCCAGUCGUUUUUAAUUUGUGACACUUUUCGCUUAUCUGUGUAU